UACGAAGGGGACUAGCGUUGUUCGGAAUCACUGGGCGUAAAGCGCACGUAGGCGGCUUUUUAAGUCAGGGGUGAAAUCCUGGAGCUCAACUCCAGAACUGCCUUUGAUACUGAGAGGCUCGAGUCCGGGAGAGGUGAGUGGAACUGCGAGUGUAGAGGUGAAAUUCGUAGAUAUUCGCAAGAACACCAGUGGCGAAGGCGGCUCACUGGCCCGGUACUGACGCUGAGGUGCGAAAGCGUGGGGAGCAAACAGG
This 253-nucleotide ribosomal RNA is filed under the name uncultured bacterium. RNAcentral describes it as "partial 16S ribosomal RNA". It matches the Rfam family "Bacterial small subunit ribosomal RNA", at positions 524 to 776 of the family's 1533-position model. The record is from RNAcentral.